Molecule: small nuclear RNA, 138 nt
Organism: Nomascus leucogenys (northern white-cheeked gibbon)
Lineage: Eukaryota; Metazoa; Chordata; Mammalia; Primates; Hylobatidae
Gene: U1
Rfam family: U1 spliceosomal RNA
About the family: U1 is a small nuclear RNA (snRNA) component of the spliceosome (involved in pre-mRNA splicing).
Source: Ensembl
AUACUUACCUGGCAGGGAAGAUACUAUGAUCACGAAGGUGGUUUUCCCAGGGCGAUGCUUAUCCGUUGCACUCCGGAUGUGCUGACCCCUGUGAUUUCCCCAAAUGUGGGAAAUAAACUAGGGAUUCUUUAAAUAAUC